AGAGUUUGAUCCUGGCUCAGGAUGAACGCUGGCGGCGUGCUUAACACAUGCAAGUCGAACGAAGCACUUUAACCUGAUUCUUCGGAUGAAGGUUUUUGUGACUGAGUGGCGGACGGGUGAGUAACGCGUGGGUAACCUGCCUCAUACAGGGGGAUAACAGUUAGAAAUGACUGCUAAUACCGCAUAAGACCACGGAGCUGCAUGGCUCAGUGGGAAAAACUCCGGUGGUAUGAGAUGGACCCGCGUCUGAUUAGGUAGUUGGUGGGGUAACGGCCUACCAAGCCAACGAUCAGUAGCCGACCUGAGAGGGUGACCGGCCACAUUGGGACUGAGACACGGCCCAAACUCCUACGGGAGGCAGCAGUGGGGAAUAUUGCACAAUGGGGGAAACCCUGAUGCAGCGACGCCGCGUGAGCGAAGAAGUAUUUCGGUAUGUAAGCUCUAUCAGCGGGGAAGAAAAUGACGGUACCUGACUAAGAAGCACCGGCUAAAUACGUGCCAGCAGCCGCGGUAAUACGUAUGGUGCAAGCGUUAUCCGGAUUUACUGGGUGUAAAGGGAGCGUAGACGGCUGUGUAAGUCUGAAGUGAAAGCCCGGGGCUCAACCCCGGGACUGCUUUGGAAACUAUGCAGCUAGAGUGUCGGAGAGGUAAGUGGAAUUCCCAGUGUAGCGGUGAAAUGCGUAGAUAUUGGGAGGAACACCAGUGGCGAAGGCGGCUUACUGGACGAUGACUGACGUUGAGGCUCGAAAGCGUGGGGAGCAAACAGGAUUAGAUACCCUGGUAGUCCACGCCGUAAACGAAGAACACUAGGUGUCGGGGAACCAAACUCCUUCGGUGCCCCAGCAAACGCCAAUAAGUAAGUCCCCCUGGGGGAGUACGUUUGCCAAGAAAUGAAACUCAAAGGAAUUGACGGGGGACCCGCACAAAGCGGUGGAGCAUGUGGUUUAAAUUCGAAGCAACGCGAAGAACCUUACUUGCUCUUGACAUCCCGGUGACCGGCAUGUAAUGAUGCCUUUUCUUCGGAACACCGGUGACAGGUGGUGCAUGGUUGUCGUCAGCUCGUGUCGUGAGAUGUUGGGUUAAGUCCCGCAACGAGCGCAACCCUUAUCUUCAGUAGCCAGCAAUUCGGAUGGGCACUCUGGAGAGACUGCCAGGGAUAACCUGGAGGAAGGUGGGGAUGACGUCAAAUCAUCAUGCCCCUUAUGAGCAGGGCUACACACGUGCUACAAUGGCGUAAACAAAGGGAAGCGAGCCUGCGAGGGUAAGCAAAUCUCAAAAAUAACGUCUCAGUUCGGAUUGUAGUCUGCAACUCGACUACAUGAAGCUGGAAUCGCUAGUAAUCGCGAAUCAGCAUGUCGCGGUGAAUACGUUCCUCGGGUCUUGCACACACCGCCCGUCA
This 1399-nucleotide ribosomal RNA is filed under the name uncultured bacterium. RNAcentral describes it as "bacterial SSU rRNA". It matches the Rfam family "Bacterial small subunit ribosomal RNA". The record is from RNAcentral.